Molecule: ribosomal RNA, 504 nt
Filed under: uncultured Acidobacteriota bacterium
Lineage: Bacteria; Pseudomonadati; Acidobacteriota
Description: bacterial LSU rRNA
Rfam family: Bacterial large subunit ribosomal RNA
Source: RNAcentral
GGAAGUGAACCAUCUCAGUACCCGGAGGAAAAGAAAGCAAUCGCGAUUCCCCCAGUAGCGGCGAGCGAACAGGGAACAGCCCAAACCCCCGAUAUGUCAAGCCUGCAGGCGUUGUAUCGGGGGUGUUGCAGGGCCGGGCGUGGCGUCUCUGCAGAGGCGCCGGAAAGUCAGAAACCGAGCUCCUAGCCGAACGAUCUGGAAUGGUCGGCGAUACAGGGUGCAAGCCCCGUAGGCGAAAGGAGCGAGGCUUUCCUGUCCGGUUCCUAAGUACCGCGGGACACGUGGAACCCUGCGGGAAACCGGGAGGACCAUCUCCCAAGGCUCAAUACGUGCCUGCGGCCGAUAGUGAACCAGUACCGUGAGGGAAAGGUGAAAAGAACCCCUGUGAGGGGAGUGAAAUAGGACCUGAAACCGUAUGCCUACAAGCAGUGGGAGGGCGUUUGCCGGGGCUUCGGCUCCGGUGUUGCCCGACCGCGUGCCUUUUGCAUAAUGAGCCGGCUAGUU